CACACUUCGGUAAAACCGUGGAAGGUUUGUUAAUUUUAAAAAUUGCAUCCAAAUGUACAGACAAUCACAGGAUCGCUUGUAAGCAAUCAUAUUGUUUUUUUUUUUUUUUUUUUAUGACUAAAUUAACAAUUUUUAGACUAUUACCAGCAAAAAUGGCAUACCAUUAUGGAAAAACUGUUUUUUAUUUUAUUUUCAAAUAAUGUGUUCCAUCUUAUCAUAUGAUAUUUUGUUAUUUUAUUCGAUUGUUUAUAUUAUUUUUUAUUAUUUAUUAUUUUGUAAAGCGGAUCACUUUCGCCAGUCCUUUGGGCUGAAAAUGUUCUAUAGAAACGGUAAUCCUUUUCUACAAUAGCUACUGCCACAAACGAGACGUGUCAUUGUGUCCUUAAGUAUUUUGUGUUUUUUUUUUUUUUAAUGCCCGUUAUUGUCAUUGUAUAAUUAGAUUGGUGGUCAUCCGAAAACUUUAGAAGAACCCGUCAUAUUAUUCCGUCGUUAUAGAAGAG
Molecule: non-coding RNA, 500 nt
Organism: Cinara cedri
Lineage: Eukaryota; Metazoa; Arthropoda; Insecta; Hemiptera; Aphididae
Source: the annotation of a GenBank genome assembly